GAUGAACGCUGGCGGCGUGCCUAAUACAUGCAAGUCGAGCGAACAGACGAGGAGCUUGCUCCUCUGACGUUAGCGGCGGACGGGUGAGUAACACGUGGAUAACCUACCUAUAAGACUGGAUAACUUCGGGAAACCGGAGCUAAUACCGGAUAAUAUAUUGAACCGCAUGGUUCAAUAGUGAAAGACGGUUUUGCUGUCACUUAUAGAUGGAUCCGCGCCGCAUUAGCUAGUUGGUAAGGUAACGGCUUACCAAGGCAACGAUGCGUAGCCGACCUGAGAGGGUGAUCGGCCACACGGGAACUGAGACACGGUCCAGACUCCUACGGGAGGCAGCAGUAGGGAAUCUUCCGCAAUGGGCGAAAGCCUGACGGAGCAACGCCGCGUGAGUGAUGAAGGUCUUCGGAUCGUAAAACUCUGUUAUUAGGGAAGAACAAAUGUGUAAGUAACUAUGCACGUCUUGACGGUACCUAAUCAGAAAGCCACGGCUAACUACGUG
This 496-nucleotide ribosomal RNA is filed under the name uncultured bacterium. RNAcentral describes it as "partial 16S ribosomal RNA". It matches the Rfam family "Bacterial small subunit ribosomal RNA", at positions 28 to 507 of the family's 1533-position model. The record is from RNAcentral.